This 2059-nucleotide long non-coding RNA is filed under the name Zonotrichia albicollis (white-throated sparrow). RNAcentral describes it as "lncRNA (ENSZALG00000000032.1)". Lineage: Eukaryota; Metazoa; Chordata; Aves; Passeriformes; Passerellidae. The record is from RNAcentral.
CUCAAUGCCAAGUCUGUGAGGGCCCAUUGCUGCCUGUUACUGAUGCAGAAUCAGGGAGCAUUUGUUUGUAGCCAUGAGCUGGGCUGCUCUCACCUCUCAGCUGCUGCAAAGCUCUGCAGCCAUGGACACCCUGGAAAUGGCAUCUUCAGCAAAACCUGGCUUACAAAGGAGUGGCACAUAAACCAAGAGCACGUUUGAGGAGAACCUUCUUUCUUGUAAGCUCUAGAGGAGGAGUCCUAGUCUUCUUUCUAAUCCUGUGAACAAGAAAAUAAUCUGGAACCCUGAAGGGGUAAACUUGGAAGGGAACCUGUGAAAUAAGUAACUGAAUGAAACAGAAUAGUUUGAAGACUGAGCAGCAUUCACACCAAGCAGUCCCCAGGCUGCCGGAUGCCCUUGCCAGGACUGCCGCAGCUGAGCAUAGGUCGGUGUUGCCACCUGGUGGCACGGGACAGCGACACUGCCGCUCGGAAAUGGGACUGUCAAGCAGCAAAGACACGCAUCACAACUGAUAUCUAAGACAUAUUUUAUUAUUUAAUCUUUUGCUUUCUACAGAAUCAAGGUUUUACUGCUCACCGUCCCCACGGUGCGUUCACAUGGUUCCAUUUCACCAACACUGAAUCCUUGGUCGGUGUGACAGCCCCACCUGCUUACCAAGGGGCUCAGAAGGUCUUCGAAGGCUCCUCUUUUUUCAGCAGGUGCCUCCAUAAUCCUCUCACGCCCUUUUUAGUUAUCAGCCAUAGCCACUGCUCUUCAGCUGUGGUCUGAGUUACAAACCUAUUGCUAGCAGUGGCCUUGCAUGGAUUUGGCAGAUUCUUGCUGUGUUGAGUUUAUUUGUUCUCAUGAAUUCAGCAGCCUGCUGGGUUACAGGUCCAGCAUUUGUCAGCUCACACAAAAGGGCUUGUACAGCAACUUGGCCUAGAAAGCAAUUCCACAGAAUAUUAAGAUUUGUUUAAGAAGUCACCCAAACCCAGUUAUAUCUGUGCUAGAGAAAUGAAAACUGCUGCAAUUUGGAAAAGGUUGAGUAAUCAUUUUCCAAAAUUUUAAAAUCUUAUGGAAUUACCUGGAUAGUAGAAAAAAAUGUCACUGGAUCUGUAUCUUCUCAGCUCUUUAGAUAUUUCAGCAGUGUUUAAAACGUACAAGUGGGCAACAGUGAGCCUGCAAUUUCUCUUUUUAAAUCUGACAAGGAAACAUAAUUCUCAUCAUACAGUAUGUUAAGUGCAUCUUUCUGAGACGGGCAGAGGAGUCCUGCUAAACUGGGGUGUAGGAGACCACAAAUUCACUCUGGUGAUUAUAUCUAACACUCUGUAAAAUACAGAGGAAAAACCUGGGAAAACAAGGAGCUAAGAGCUAAAUCUACAUUGUUAACAGGACAACUAGCCCCUUUCUUCCCAACACAUGAAAAAAAAAAUAUAUUUGGUAGAAUUUUUCAAAUAUGAUUACAAAAAUCUAGUAUACAAAGUAAGUACAAAAAAAAGCACUUCCUACUUUUUAAAAACAAUUUAUUAGAUUAUCACAUGAUAACACUGUUGUGUGACUAAGUGAUUUUUUCAGCCACUGCUGCAGAUCCACAAGGAGUACACAGCACAGUCUGAGAAGCAGCUAAGAACAUCUUUGCAAAGUGUCAAAUGUAAAUGUGAAGCACACAAGCAAAAAAUAGCCAAAAGAGAUCUUUGAUAAAAGCAGCAGCUCGAUUGUUUUGUACAGCAUGCAAUGUUCCUGUGAAUUCCAAUGAAAAAACAAGCUGUGACAAACACUUGAGAGUGUUCUGCAUAAACAGAAGCUUCAGGCAUUUGAAAGUGGAGAAGACAAGGCAGAUAUUAAAAGUGGUUAGUGCGCUAUUUGCUCUGAAGGUUAAGAACAACCACGUCAUGGACUGGAAUUUUCCCACCUUAGAGACUUUCUCAUAGCUAACGGUAAACUACAUUUUCUACAGAGUGCUGCUUGGAAAAGCUAUUUGGAGUACUCUUUCAAAACCAGUCACAUCACUCUUCUCGAUUGCUCUAUGAAAAAUAUGCUUCCCAAAGCUUUUAAAAAUAAAUCAUGUGCAAGGGCUACUGCA